This 512-nucleotide ribosomal RNA is filed under the name uncultured bacterium. RNAcentral describes it as "bacterial SSU rRNA". It matches the Rfam family "Archaeal small subunit ribosomal RNA", at positions 339 to 851 of the family's 1478-position model. The record is from RNAcentral.
GCGCGAAAACUUUACAAUGCCGGCAACGGCGAUAAGGGAACCUCGAGUGCCAGGUUACAAAUCUGGCUGUCGCGAUGCCUAAAAAGCAUUGCAUAGCAAGGGCCGGGCAAGACCGGUGCCAGCCGCCGCGGUAACACCGGCGGCUCGAGUGGUAACCGUUAUUAUUGGGUCUAAAGGGUCUGUAGCCGGCCGGAUAAGUCUCUUGAGAAAUCUGGCCGCUCAACGGUCAGGCGUUCAGGGGAUACUGUCUGGCUCGAGACCGGGAGAGGUGAGAGGUACCUCAGGGGUAGGGGUGAAAUCUUGUAAUCCUUGAGAGACCACCAGUGGCGAAGGCGUCUCACCAAAACGGAUCUGACGGCAAGGGACGAAAGCUAGGGGCACGAACCGGAUUAGAUACCCGGGUAGUCCUAGCCGUAAACGAUACUCGCUAGGUGUCGGCCACGGUGCGACCGUGGUCGGUGCCGUAGGGAAGCCGUGAAGCGAGCCACCUGGGAAGUACGGCCGCAAGGCUG